Molecule: ribosomal RNA, 429 nt
Filed under: Chloroflexota bacterium
Lineage: Bacteria; Bacillati; Chloroflexota
Description: Chloroflexi bacterium partial 16S ribosomal RNA
Rfam family: Bacterial small subunit ribosomal RNA
Source: RNAcentral
UGGGGAAUAUUGCACAAUGGGCGCAAGCCUGAUGCAGCCAUGCCGCGUGUGUGAAGAAGGCCUUCGGGUUGUAAAGCACUUUCAGCGGGGAGGAAGGCGAUAAGGUUAAUAACCUUGUCGAUUGACGUUACCCGCAGAAGAAGCACCGGCUAACUCCGUGCCAGCAGCCGCGUUAAUACGGUGGGUGCAAGCGUUAAUCGGAAUUACUGGGCGUAAAGCGCACGCUGGCGGUCUGUCAAGUCGGAUGUGAAAUCCCCGGGCUGAACCUAGGAAAUGCAUUGGAAACUGGGAGGAUAGAGUCUAGUAGAGGGGGGUAGAAUUCCAGGGGUAGCGGGGAAAGGCGUAGAGAUGGGGAGGAAUACCGGUGGGGAAGGCGGCCCCCUGGACAAAGACUGACGCUCAGGUGCGAAAGCGUGGGGAGCAAACAGG